RNAcentral lists this ribosomal RNA (172 nucleotides) under uncultured rumen bacterium. RNAcentral describes it as "partial 16S ribosomal RNA". It matches the Rfam family "Bacterial small subunit ribosomal RNA", at positions 338 to 524 of the family's 1533-position model. The record is from RNAcentral.
CCUACGGGAGGCAGCAGUGGGGAAUAUUGGUCAAUGGGGGCAACCCUGAACCAGCAACGCCGCGUGAAGGAAGAAGGCUUUCGGGUUGUAAACUUCUUUUGCCGGGGACGAAACAAAUGACGGUACCCGGCGAAUAAGCCACGGCUAACUACGUGCCAGCAGCCGCGGUAAU